This 21-nucleotide unclassified non-coding RNA is filed under the name Mus musculus (house mouse). RNAcentral's name for it is "oocyte_clustered_small_RNA7356". Lineage: Eukaryota; Metazoa; Chordata; Mammalia; Rodentia; Muridae. The record is from RNAcentral.
AUUGGACCUAGCACUGAAAGA